RNAcentral lists this ribosomal RNA (308 nucleotides) under uncultured bacterium. RNAcentral's name for it is "bacterial SSU rRNA". It matches the Rfam family "Bacterial small subunit ribosomal RNA", at positions 30 to 350 of the family's 1533-position model. The record is from RNAcentral.
AUUGAACGCUGGCGGCAUGCUUUACACAUGCAAGUCGAACGGUAACAGGUUAAGCUGACGAGUGGCGAACGGGUGAGUAAUGCAUCGGAACGUGCCCAGUCGUGGGGGAUAACGCAGCGAAAGCUGUGCUAAUACCGCAUACGAUCUAUGGAUGAAAGCGGGGGACCUUAGGGCCUCGCGCGAUUGGAGCGGCCGAUGUCAGACUAGGUAGUUGGUGGGUAAAGGCCCACCAAGCCAACGAUCUGUAGCUGGUCUGAGAGGACGACCAGCCACACUGGGACUGAGACACGGCCCAGACUCGUGAUGCU